Molecule: ribosomal RNA, 439 nt
Filed under: uncultured bacterium
Lineage: Bacteria
Description: partial 16S ribosomal RNA
Rfam family: Bacterial small subunit ribosomal RNA
Source: RNAcentral
CUACGGGACGCACCAGUGAGGAAUAUUGCACAAUGGGGGGAACCCUGAUGCAGCAACGCCGCGUGGAGGAUGACGCAUUUCGGUGUGUAAACUCCUUUUAUAUGUCAAGAAAAUGACGGUAGCAUAUGAAUAAGCACCGGCUAACUCCGUGCCAGCAGCCGCGGUAAUACGGAGGGUGCAAGCGUUACUCGGAAUCACUGGGCGUAAAGGACGCGUAGGCGGGUUGGAAAGUCAGGUGUGAAAUCCUACAGCUUAACUGUAGAACUGCACUUGAAACUUCUAAUCUAGAGUAUGGGAGGGGGAGAUGGAAUUAGUUGUGUAGGGGUAAAAUCCGUAGAUAUCAAUAGGAAUACCUAAAGCGAAGGCGAUCUCCUGGAACAUUACUGACGCUAAGGCGUGAAAGCGUGGGGAGAAAACAGGAUUAGAUACCCGCGUAGUC